This 253-nucleotide ribosomal RNA is filed under the name uncultured bacterium. RNAcentral's name for it is "partial 16S ribosomal RNA". It matches the Rfam family "Bacterial small subunit ribosomal RNA", at positions 524 to 776 of the family's 1533-position model. The record is from RNAcentral.
UACAGAGGGUGCAAGCGUUGUUCGGAAUUAUUGGGCGUAAAGGGCGCGUAGGCGGUGCGGUAAGUCUGUAGUGAAAUCUCUGGGCUCAACUCAGAGUCUGCUGCAGAAACUGCCGUGCUUGAGUGUGGGAGAGGUGAGUGGAAUUCCCGGCGUAGCGGUGAAAUGCGUAGAUAUCGGGAGGAACACCUGUGGCGAAAGCGGCUCACUGGACCACAACUGACGCUGAGGCGCGAAAGCUAGGGGAGCAAACAGG